RNAcentral lists this transfer RNA (73 nucleotides) under Ailuropoda melanoleuca (giant panda). It matches the Rfam family "tRNA". From Rfam's summary of the family: Transfer RNA (tRNA) molecules are approximately 80 nucleotides in length. Their secondary structure includes four short double-helical elements and three loops (D, anti-codon, and T loops). Further hydrogen bonds mediate the characteristic L-shaped molecular structure. tRNAs have two regions of fundamental functional importance: the anti-codon, which is responsible for specific mRNA codon recognition, and the 3' end, to which the tRNAs corresponding amino acid is attached (by aminoacyl-tRNA synthetases). tRNAs cope with the degeneracy of the genetic code in two manners: having more than one tRNA (with a specific anti-codon) for a particular amino acid; and 'wobble' base-pairing, i.e. permitting non-standard base-pairing at the 3rd anti-codon position. RNAcentral also lists the same sequence under 1 other name. Lineage: Eukaryota; Metazoa; Chordata; Mammalia; Carnivora; Ursidae. The record is from Rfam by way of RNAcentral.
ACCUGGCAGGCUCAGUCAGUAGAGCAUGACACUCUGGAUCUCAAGGUUGUGCGUUCAAGCCCCACGUCGGGUG